GGGUCAAAGUUUAUGUUUAUGUUCGCCGUCCGUGGCGAACCGUUCGGCGAACCGUUCGGGACAUCACUACUCCCCAACGACAAGGCGAUGACGCAUUCGUAUGUCAUCCAUAUCAACUUUCAAUGUCAUUUACUGCGCCUACCAUGGUGACCACGGGUAAUGGGGAAUCAGGAUUUGAUUCCGGAGAGGGAGCCUGAGAAACGACUACCAGGCACGCAAAUGACCCACUCCCGACGCGGUAAGGUAGUGACGACAAAUAACAAUACAGGACUCUUUAGAGGCCCUGUAAUUGUAAUGAGUCCACUUGAAAUCCUUUAACUCUGAUCAAUUGGAGGGCAAGUCUGGUGCAGAGCGACUGACCCGUGCGUGCUGCUGCUGAAACUCCACUAUCGCCUGCUGCUGCUCACACAAUCUCUCCAGCUUGUG
This is a non-coding RNA of Pelobates cultripes (western spadefoot toad), 426 nucleotides long. The record is from the annotation of a GenBank genome assembly. Lineage: Eukaryota; Metazoa; Chordata; Amphibia; Anura; Pelobatidae.